Long non-coding RNA from Denticeps clupeoides (denticle herring), 1340 nucleotides. Lineage: Eukaryota; Metazoa; Chordata; Actinopteri; Clupeiformes; Denticipitidae. The record is from Ensembl.
AAAUAAGGUUAGUGUGUGUGUGUGUGUGUGUGUGUGUGUGUGUGUGUGUGUGUGUGUGUGUCAUUCAAAUUGCCUGUGGCCUGAGUACUGUGCUGAUUUCACACUUCUGAGGUGUUACAAAUUAUUAAUAUUCAAUUGGUUUCCAGUUAAACGCAAAUGAACCAAACAUAAGAACCUUCUUCACAUCAUCAUUUUCUUUGUUCUUUGGUUCUUGAACCAAAAAGGAAAACAUCAAACAGUUUUUCAUCCUAUCACGGCCUUACAGGAUCAAGAAUUGUCAAGCAGUGCAAAGAAGGCUGGACUGCAAAAACACUCCUCUUGUCUCUUGCCAGGUACAGCUCCCUAUUGUUUUUCUUUUCAUGUUAGAUUUAAGACAAGUCUUUCAGAAGACUGACAUUUCUGUAAUGAUAUCUUUGAUCUUUAUUACCCUUGUCUUCAUCCUGCCCUCUACAACUAGUACCAUUUGGGCCAUAUUUGAAGAUCAUAAGCAGAAAAGGGCUUUCUAGCACUAUGGAAUGAAGACAUUUUCACAGUCAGUCAAGAUGUCAGCAAACAGCAGAAUUUCAAUUUUGUCUGGAGCCAGAGGAAAGAUCUGGCAUCUGCUCUAUGGGGAUCGGUGCUUCGCAAGGCAGAUUUUUUUUUAUUCACUAAUGAUACCCCAACGGAGCGCAUGAUUCAAGGAAGGCUUUCACCCCAUUUGAAAAGGUCAGAGUUUUCUGCACUGGUUUUCUGGACUGGGGGCACUGUGCCCAAUGUCAUAUCUCUGAUGGUAAUAUGUUGCCAUGUCAUAAAUAUUCAUACAUUCAUAUAAAUGUGUUGACUUUGUUACACAGCAUUGUUCUGUUUUUAAAAAUCUGCACUACAUAUUAGACCUAAACUGGAAGGUGAUGACUGUUUACUUGGUCCAUUUACCAGGGGAAGUCAAACCAUCUUGUCACGACCGCUUGCUGAGGGGGGAAGGAAGCGCAGAGGCAGGACAUUCUGGGAAGGGGUUUUAUUAAUAAACAAACAAUAAACACAAAUAAAGAAUGGCUAACAGCUAACAGGCUAACAACAAAGGGUCUAUCACACAAAGCAACAAGAAACACGAUUGAGAUCCCCAACGGAGCUCCAUGCAGAUCUCCGUGGACCCUGGGGACCUCCCAAAAGCAUAAGGGCCUAGCAGACCCUGGGGACCUCCCGAAGACCAUCUGAAGUCUCUUUAAAUAGGUGGAGGUGACCAAUGACAGAUGGAGCUGGUAGGCCUCAACUCCUCCCACGAGUCAACCUAAAAGGGACAGGACGCAAAAAACACAGCCAGACACACAGAACACGUGGGAGCAUACAUCCAGGGACGUAAC